Molecule: ribosomal RNA, 1467 nt
Filed under: uncultured Bordetella sp.
Lineage: Bacteria; Pseudomonadati; Pseudomonadota; Betaproteobacteria; Burkholderiales; Alcaligenaceae
Description: partial 16S-23S ribosomal RNA intergenic spacer
Rfam family: Bacterial small subunit ribosomal RNA
Source: RNAcentral
GGUUCGAUUAUGAAAGCAGUUGAACGCUGGCGGGAUGCUUUACACAAGUCGAACGGCAGCACGGACUUCGGUCUGGUGGCGAGUGGCGAACGGGUGAGUAAUGUAUCGGAACGUGCCUAGUAGCGGGGGAUAACUACGCCGGCGUAGCUAAUACCGCAUACACCGCUGGGGAAAGCGGGGGACCUUCGGGCCUCGCACUAUUGAAGCGGCCGAUAUCGGAUACAGCUGGUUGGUGGGGUAACGGCUCACCAAGGCGACGAUCCGUAGCUGGUUUGAGAGGACGACCAGCCACACUGGGACUGAGAUUUGGCCCAGACUCCCUACAGGAGGCAGCAGUGGGAAUUUUGGACAAUGGGGAAACCUGAUCCAGCCAUCCCGCGUGUGCGAUGAAGGCCUUCGGGUUGUAAAGCACUUUUGGCAGGAAAAGAAACGGCACGGGAUAAUACCCCGUGCAACUGACGGUACCUGCAGAAUAAGCACCGGCUAACUACGUGCCAGCAGCCAGUAUACGUAGGGUGCAAGCGUUAAUCGGAAUUACUGGGCGUAAAGCGUGCGCAGGCGGUUCGGAAAGAAAGAUGUGAAAUCCCCAGGACUUAACUUUACGGAACACAUUUUUACUACCGAGCUAAGAGUGUGUCAGAGAAAGUGGAAUUCCGCGUGUAGCAGUGAAAUGCGUAGAUAUGCGGAACACCGAUAGCGAAAACCAGCCUCCUGGGAUAACACUGACGCUCAUGCACGAAAGCGUGGGGAGCAAACAGGAUUAGAUACCCUGGUAGUCCACGCCCUAAACGAUGUCAACUAGCUGUUGGGGCCUUCGGGCCUUGGUAGCGCAACUAACGCGUGAAGUUGACCGCCUGGGAGAGUACGGUCGCAAGAUUAAAACUCAAAGGAAUUGACGGGGACACUGGCGGUGGAUGAUGUGGAUUAAUUCGAUGCAACGCGAAAAACCUUACCUACCCUUACGACAUGUCUGGAAUCCCGAAGAGAUUUGGGAGUGCUCAUAGAGAACCGGAACACAGGUGCUGCAUGGCUGUCAAUGGCUCGUGUCGUGAGAUGUUGGGUUAAGUCCCGCAACGAGCGCAGCCCUUGUCAUUGGUGCUACGAAAGGGCACUCUAAAAUGAGACACCGGUGACAAACCGGAGGAAGGUGGAUGACGUCAAGUCUCAUGGCCCUCAUGGGUAGGGCUUCACACGUCAUACAAUGGUCGGGACAGAGGGUCGCCAACCCGCGAGGGUAAUCCCGAAACCCGAUCGUAGUCCGGAUCGCAGUCUGCAACUCGACUGCGUGAAAUUCGGAAUCGCUAGUAAUCGCGGAUCAGCAUGUCGCGGUGAAUACGUUCCCGGGUCUUGUACACACCGCCCGUCACACCAUGGGAGUGGGUUUUACCAGAAGUAGUUAGCCUAACCGUAAGGAGAGGCGUUACCACGGUAGGAUUCUUCAGCUGGGGUGAAGUCGUAACAAGGUAG